This 71-nucleotide transfer RNA is filed under the name Strauchbufo raddei (Mongolian toad). RNAcentral describes it as "tRNA-Thr". It matches the Rfam family "tRNA". Rfam says of the family: Transfer RNA (tRNA) molecules are approximately 80 nucleotides in length. Their secondary structure includes four short double-helical elements and three loops (D, anti-codon, and T loops). Further hydrogen bonds mediate the characteristic L-shaped molecular structure. tRNAs have two regions of fundamental functional importance: the anti-codon, which is responsible for specific mRNA codon recognition, and the 3' end, to which the tRNAs corresponding amino acid is attached (by aminoacyl-tRNA synthetases). tRNAs cope with the degeneracy of the genetic code in two manners: having more than one tRNA (with a specific anti-codon) for a particular amino acid; and 'wobble' base-pairing, i.e. permitting non-standard base-pairing at the 3rd anti-codon position. Lineage: Eukaryota; Metazoa; Chordata; Amphibia; Anura; Bufonidae. The record is from RNAcentral.
GCUCCAGUAGCUUAAUUUCAAAGCAUUGGUCUUGUAAACCAAAGAAUGAAGAAUAAACCCUUCCUGAAGCU